AGCUCAGUUGGUAGAGCAUGAGACUCUCAAUCUCAGGGUUAUGGGUUUGAGCCCCAU
This 57-nucleotide transfer RNA is filed under the name Neotoma lepida (desert woodrat). It matches the Rfam family "tRNA", at positions 9 to 63 of the family's 71-position model. From Rfam's summary of the family: Transfer RNA (tRNA) molecules are approximately 80 nucleotides in length. Lineage: Eukaryota; Metazoa; Chordata; Mammalia; Rodentia; Cricetidae. The record is from Rfam by way of RNAcentral.